GCGACCUGUCAGGCCUCAGAAAGGUCCUCAUUUAGGUUCUCUUUUGAAUCCUCAUCGAAACGCUUUUCGUUUCGUCUCAAUCGGAGUUUCCAUUGAGAUUUUCGACGAAAACAAGUAAGACUCGUCUAAACUCCUUCGCUUGCUCCUACUCGCCCUUACCUCCAUCUUUGUGUUCUCCUUCAAAUCUUGAUCGAAACGUCUCUUGUUUCGUCUUGAUUGGAUUUACCAUUGAAACUUUACGAUAAAAAAAAACCGCAAAG
Molecule: long non-coding RNA, 260 nt
Filed under: Brassica napus (rape)
Lineage: Eukaryota; Viridiplantae; Streptophyta; Magnoliopsida; Brassicales; Brassicaceae
Description: long non-coding RNA (BNAP_LNC016780)
Source: RNAcentral